Schistosoma rodhaini is the source of this 45-nucleotide non-coding RNA. The record is from Rfam. NCBI's taxonomy places the organism in Eukaryota, Metazoa, Platyhelminthes, Trematoda, Strigeidida, Schistosomatidae.
AUCCAGCUGACGAGUCCCAAAUAGGACGAAACGCGGGUCGUGAAU